Molecule: ribosomal RNA, 386 nt
Filed under: uncultured prokaryote
Description: bacterial SSU rRNA
Rfam family: Archaeal small subunit ribosomal RNA
Source: RNAcentral
GCGCGAAAACUUUACAAUGCUGGCAACAGCGAUAAGGGAACCUCGAGUGCCAGGUUACAAAUCUGGCUGUCGAGAUGCCUAAAAAGCAUUUCAUAGCAAGGGCCGGGCAAGACCGGUGCCAGCCGCCGCGGUAACACCGGCGGCUCGAGUGGUAACCGUUCUUAUUGGGUCUAAAGGGUCUGUAGCCGGCCGGAUAAGUCUCUUGAGAAAUCUGGCAGCUUAACUGUCAGGCUUUCAGGAGAUACUGUCUGGCUCGAGGCCGGGAGAGGUGAGAGGUACUUCAGGGGGAGGGGUGAAAUCUUGUAAUCCUUGAAGGACCACCAGUGGCGAAGGCGUCUCAACAGAACGGACCUGACGGCAAGGGACGAAAGCUAGGGGCACGAACC